AGGUAGAGGGGUUUUAGUCGGUAGGUCUGAGGACACCUUCCUCGGGAAUCCGACACUACCCAGUCGUGCGGACGGCUGGGUGUCUUUUGAAGAUUUCCCCUCUUCC
Molecule: non-coding RNA, 106 nt
Organism: Agrilus planipennis (emerald ash borer)
Lineage: Eukaryota; Metazoa; Arthropoda; Insecta; Coleoptera; Buprestidae
Source: Rfam